Molecule: long non-coding RNA, 17271 nt
Filed under: Malus domestica (apple)
Lineage: Eukaryota; Viridiplantae; Streptophyta; Magnoliopsida; Rosales; Rosaceae
Description: long non-coding RNA (MDOM_LNC016283)
Source: RNAcentral
UCCUGACUUAGUUUGAAUAUGGCUUACUAGAACUGAUGAACAUUGGACAGAGCUUGAAUCUGAUCUAGAUUCAACCAAACUAGGCAAAACUACAUAACUCUUGACCUUUAUCUGGUUAAAAGUUAAGGUUCUAAAAGACGCUAGGCGCUAAUCGAGCGGCAGACUAGGGUUUAGUGCCUCGGUGCUAGGCGAACUAGGUGAAUUUAAUUAAAUUUAUUAUAUAACAUAUAAAUAAGUGCCUAAUUACACUCUAAAAAAUAAAAAAAAUAUACUUGUAGUGAGAAUUUGGUAAAGUUAAAACUUAAGUCAUCAUAGCAUUGUCAUCAUCACAGACUAAUGGAAUAAAAAUAAGAAAAGCACAAAAUCCAAAACCAAAUUUGAAAAUUCACUAAUGCAUAAACUAGGUUCUAUUUUGUAGGUUACCCAGAAAACCCUUUUAAGUUAAUUAAAAAACAUUUAAAAACAAUAGAACCGCCUAGAUACCGCCUAGCCCCUACCUGAAUUUUCUGCGAGUUUUCGCUUAAAUCGCAUCGGUCCUCCACUGCCUAGCCUGCCUAGAUACCGCCUUGGCCGAUUUUUAAAACCAGCAAUUGAAAACCAAAUUUUUUUCUAUUCUAAUAUUUAAUAACAGUGUUUGGGCCCAAAAUAUUGGUUUGGGCUGAAUUUAGAAUUGUUCUCGGCUUAGAGGCCAUGCUUAGGAGUCGCUGGGGGUCAUCCGGCUUAUAGGCCAUAUAGCCAAGGCCGGCUGUGCCCUAUUAGGAGUCCAUGGGUGGUUGAAUUUUGAUAUGAGAAGGAGUUUCGACAGGAUAAGGAUGUAGAAAUUUGAGAUUGAAGGCGGCCUGAUAAGGGGGUUGAGUUCAAAGUCCUAGUAGGAGUAAGAGUGGUUGAGAUAAGGUUAGAUUGGGGGAAUGAGUUCUAAUCCGAGUAGGGUUGUGAUUCGAUUGGAAGCAGGUUGACUACUAUAAAUAGAGGGAUGAGGACAUCAUUAAAGUCUCUCCAAUUCAACACACAAACUGCCCUGCGCAAAUUCUCGCUCUACAUGAAACCUCUUAACAACCUUGAGAUUUUUAUUUUCCUUUUUCGCCAACACACUUUCAGUUUGGAUAAACAGCACUGUGAAGGCAACCAGUGAACAUCUUCAGUUUGGAUAAACAACAAUGUUGCCGUCGAAUCAGCCGACUAUGAAGCACCUUUAGUUUGGAUAAACAGCACUGUGACAUGGUUGAUUGGUUAUCUAUCCAAGUCUCGGUCGAGAAUGAUUUUCGAAUCCUUAUUAGCAGAGGUCAUCUCAUUAGCCUUCUCGACGUAGUGAGGUGUUACAUGUUACUACAUUUGGCACAUUGAAAGCUGAAUUUGAUAUUGAACUUCGCAGAACUAGCAACCUUGUUUUCAGGCUCUAGAACUUGAAGGCCGAUAGUGUUUCUUCCUCGGUCGCAGUCGCAAGAUCGAGAAGUCAACCGCGCGCUCAGCGCAACAUAAACACAUUUUACUCCUCGGCUGAGCUCUGCCGACGAGUUGGCACACCUCGCAUCAAUCGAAUGCCGUAGUUAGCUCAUUAGUUACUCGGCCUGCGCACCAUGUAGGCUUGGUAGUUUUUAGGGUCAACAUUUUGGCACGCCCAGUGGGACCCAGUGCUAAAACUACGAAGUUCAUGACCAUCGAGAUACGAUCAGUAAAAAAGAAAACAACCAUGGGAAAAUCAGCGAUCGAUCUGCCGGUUCAGAGUCCUGGACAAAAAGUGUCACAUGCGCGAAAUCCUCUCGUUGCUGUGACCCUUGAGGCUGCAAGUAUGACACACCAAGAAAAGGAAGUUUGCCUCGAUACCCAGCCUCGAAACACAGAAGUACUUAACCGAACCGCCGGCGUUUUCAUUGAAGGAAUAGUGGAUGACUACGACGAAGAUGGUGGUGAAGGCUCUGACCCUCCAACUAGGUCGUUUCUUCGAAGGCGGCUUGAUGAGCAAUCUCGACAAGUCGAACAGACAGUUGUUCAAAAAAUGAACACUUUGCUCGAGGUAAUACGAAGUAAUGGUGAGACCCACACCAAAUUGCUCAAGUUAUUAGUUAGCAGAGUCUUCGAAGGAGGAUCUGCUGAUCAGGCUCGGCAACUUCCAUUAAGAAGUAAUCCGCUAUAGGCCGAAGUAGUGUUUACUCGGCCCAAAACGAUUGACUUAGAAAAAAAAGGGAGGAUCAAGUAGUAGGUCAGAUGGAUCUGACCAGAGAAUGGAAACGACAUUUGUCGAUAUGACCGAGGUCAAACGAAUGAUCGAUUCGGCCUUGAAAAAAGGGUCGAAGUUCCCAAAAUUCAUCCAUCCAUAUCCAGUUUAUGUGGAAAAGUUCGAAUAUCCUAAAGGUUUCAAGAUUCCAGAUUUCAACCUUUUUGUUGGAAAAUCAUCCUUAUCCUCGUUAGAACAUGUGGCCCGUUUUACUACGCAAUGCGGAGAUGUCAAUAGUGAUUUCUAUAAACUAUGGUUGUUCAACUUUUCGUUAAUAGGCUCAGCAUUCGCAUGGUAUAUCAACCUCUCACCUAAUUCUAUCCAAAGCUGGGAGGAGUUGGUCGAGAAGUUUCACGAAAAAUUCUAUCGAUCGGGGAUGGAAAUGUCAGUUUCUUCAUUGGUUAGGAUAACUUAAGCAUCUGAUGAGUCACCAAUGGACUAUCUUACAAGGUUUAAAUUGGCCAAGAAUUGGUGCCGAGUACCUCUUCCCGAAGUCGAAUUUGUUAGGCUUGCUCUGAAUGGGCUCGACGUGGAGUACAAAAAGAAAUUUCUGGGGGCAAACUUCUGGGAUAUGUAUGAGUUAGCCUAACACGUCGAGCAAUAUGAUUAUUUGCUCUGAGAAGAAAAGGCCUUAAAAUCCCCAUCCCGAGGAACGAUUUCCAAAAAAUCCCAUGGUCAGCUACGAAUCGACCGAAUGCGAAGAUUCCCAAUACGUCAGUGUGGACGUGGCCGAGAUAGUAAUAGAUAAACCAUAUGUCUGCAAGGCAUUGACUUAAAUUAAUUCCAAGGAUGCCAAAACCCGCUUGACCACUGAAGAGACGGCGAAAACAUCGAAAGUUUACACUUUUGAUAUCACAAAGGCUGAUGCAAUUUCGACCAAUUGUUGUUAGAAAAGAUUAUUAAACUUUGGCCAGGACAUAACAUUCCUAAGGCCGAAAAGCUUAAAGGGAAGAUGUAUUGGAUGUAUUGCAAGUACCAUAACUCGACUAAGCAUACCACGAACAAUUGUGUCGUUUUCCGUGAUGAUAUUCAAAGCUGGAUUGACAAAGGCAAGCUAAAGUUUCUCGAAAAACGAAUGACGGUUGAUGCUGAUCCAUUCCCUUCGGCAACAGUUGGCAUGGUAGACGCCCAUUUGCCCAAGAGAAAAUGGAAAAGGAAGGCCGAGUCUGUCCCAUUACAACACGUCCCAAAGAAAAACUCCCAGCCACGACUCAAGAUUGACCUAUUUUCCAAUGAACCACCUACCAAGUUUUCAGGACCAGAUGUAGUCGAAUCUAUGUCAGAUUCCAGUGCAUAAGAAAUUGAUGGGUCGAUGGUUUUGUGUAGCAAUUGUAGGGCACGCGUUGUAUUAACCGAAUCCAAGGAGAGAUCAACACCACGACAACCAUCCAAGUCCGCGACGACACCCCCAAAGGAACUUGGCGGAGGCCAACGCCAGAAAGUGUUUGGUAAGCUCGGCCUUCAGGAACAGACAAAUGGUCUUACCUCGCCUAGAUGACGCCUUGACUUCGACGCGCCGUUUUAUAACAAGGAUUAUUACUCGCAUAAUUCCAGCAGCUCAAGUUUUUCGAAGAAUAAAAAAACCUCCAAACCACCUAAGCCACGCGACCAACGUUGGUACAUUUACAAUUCCCCCACUGGUAUGUAUAUUGCAAUAUCCAAAUCUCAAAAAUGUCGACGCCAACAGAUAGAUUGCAUGGCUCGACGAUAGGUAGCACAUGCUAUUCCAACUAUUAAAUGGUAGUUGAAAGAGGCAACAGGAAGCGACGAUGACCGAUGUACCCCGACCAUCAUGGCCGAAUUACUUCAAGAGAAAAAGGCAGUUGAUCGCGACUUUGAAACCACCAUUGAAGAGUCCGAGAAACGCAUCAAACUCAUUCUUCGGCUCGGGGAGAUGAAAGCUCGGUUCGAGCAUUUUAGAAAAGAAGCCGAAAGCAAGCUUCCCUCGUUGCCUUUGCAAGUUCCAUUAAUAAAGGUUCGGCGAAACCUACACCCUUAAUUCCUCGGCUAAUCCUUGGAGUACAUGCGCGAAUUUCAUAAAGAACAUUAUGCCAAUGACUUGUAUGGCCUGCCCAAGGCAUGUCAAGAAGCCAUCGACCUGGCACUAACUUACCUUGAUGUUGAACAGAUUAUCUAGAAAACCACCGAUCCAGCAAUGAAAGCCAGGUUCCAGCACAUAUGAGAAGCCAGGGUCCUUAGCUUUGAGGUUGAUCCAUACACGGACAUUGAUAUAGCCGAGCUUCCUUUUUCUUUUGACGACCUUCAACAUUUACGACACCACUUCGAAGUCUUUUUGACCGUAUCUCUCUUCGGUCUUACGACCGAUGAAAAAGAUCGGGUGGCGCGACUGGAUGCCUACCUAGACACAAGAGACGCCCGGAUCGCCUAUGAGGAAUGAGCUCGUAAGGCAUUGCAGGGGCAAAAUCAGACACCAAUAACUAAUGGGCUUGACGACAACAGUCAAAAGGAAGCAAGGUCGGGUUACAUGGCACAAGAGCAAGUACGUGUUGAGACACAUGAUAAUCAGGCCGAAGAUGUUCUAACGACCGAUGCUACAGUCCUCGAUAACCCGGAAGAAAACGACCAGGAUCCGAUGGGCCCUUUAGUCCUUGAGAACAUGGAAAUCAGCAUGGUCCAUGUUUUACCUGUUGAAUUCCAGCCAACUACACACCAACCAAAUUUCUUGGAUGGUGAUAUAGUGGCUGAGGAAGCCACACAAGUUGAUUUCAUCACCAACACCGAAGAUGAGCAAGUAAAUAACGACGCCAAACUUAAAACAGCCUUGGCCAAAUUGUUUCCUUGCUCAUCCUCAGCUAACCUUCAACAUUUAAAGCCAUUGUAUGUCACGGCCCACAUUGAAGGUUACCCAAUCUCCAAAAUUUUCAUCGAUUGCGGGGUGACGGUCAAUAUCAUGCCCAUAUCUGUCAUGAAAGCAUUACGACGAUCCAACGAAGAACUCAUCCCAUUAGGGAUAACCAUGAGCAGCUUUGUCGGUGAUAAGUCUCAAACCAAAUGAGUGCUCCCUUUAGAGGUAAACAUUGCAGGUCGCAAUCACAUUAUCGUAUUUUUUAUCGUCGACUCCAAGACCGAAUAUAAUGCUUUGCUCGGUCAGGAUUGGAUUCAUCAAACGAAUUGCAUUCCCUCUUCCUUAUACCAAGUUCUCAUUUUUUGGGACGGCAAAUCGGUUGUGGUCCAUCUAGCCAAUAAUCAGCCAUUCGAAACCAACAUGAUUCAGGCCCGCUAUUAUGACAAUCACGUUGGCUACAUUACCCUACAGGGUUUUAAUGAGGAUGGACGACCGACUUGGAUCUUAAUUCAGAAAGCCAUCGAAGUAGGCGCCGAGACUGUACCCCAGGAUUCGGCAAGACUUGGCUUGGGCGACUUAAUUACCUACACGGAUGAAUGAUGCCACAAGAGAAAGGCAUCAGGCCACGGUUUCAUCUACGAUGGAACGUCUCCUGGCUCAUUGGUAUGUUAUUUCUAAGCAUCCACGAUUGGGCAUCAACUUAAUCAAAUUUUUGGCCGAGGAAGAUAACGGCCCAGUACUAUCGUUAGAUAAAGAUCAGGCUGCACCGGCCGAACUCGAAGACAGUCGACCCCAAGUUAAGGACCCCUUAGAAGAAAUAAAUGUUGGAACGACCAAUGCCCUUCGACCGUUAUUUAUUAGUGCAUUGUUACCCGAUUCCAUGAAAGUCGAACUUUGUUAAUUACUCAACGAGUUUAAAGAUUGUUUUGCUUGGAGUUAUCAUGAGAUGCCGGGCCUUGAUUGGACCCUUGUUGAACAUGAAUUACGCAUGAAAGCUGGUUGUAAGCCUUUCGGCCAGCCCUUCGCCGAUUCUCGAUCAAAGUACAGCUCGGCAUAAAAGACGAACUAGUUUGACUUUAAAAAGCUGGGUUUAUUCGGACCGCUCAAUACGUCGAGUGGUUGGCCAAUAUCGUCCCGGUGCUAAAGAAAAAUGGCGCCCUACGCAUCUGUAUCGAUUUUUGUAAUUUGAACUUGGCAACGCUCAAAGAUGAAUACCCGAUGCCGAUCUCCGACUUGUUAAUUGACGCCAUAACACAUCACGAGAUCUUAUCCUUUAUGGAUGGGCAUGCAGGUUAUAAUUAGAUUUUCAUCGCCAAAGCUGAUGUCCAUAAGAUUGUUUUUCGUUGCCCCGGGGAACUUGGCACAUACGAUUGGGUCGUCAUGCCCUUCGGCCUCAAGAACAUAAGUGCUACGUACCAACUAGCUAUGAACACUAUUUUCCAUGAUUUAAUUGGUACCAUCGUCGAAGUCUACAUCGACGAUGUGGUCAUCAAAUCAGCACGUCGGCAGACGCAUUUGGAUGACAUCUGUUAGGCGUUCCUGUGCAUGCACCGACACAAUCUUAAGAUGAAUCCCGCGAAAUGUGCUUUCAGCGUAUCAGCUGGAAAUUUUUUAGGCUUCCUCGUACAUCACCGUGGUAUUGAGGUGGAUGACAACAAGGCUCGUGCAAUCAUUAAUGCUCCACCCCCGACGACUAAGAAACAAUUACAAUCGUUGCUCGACAAGAUCAAUUUUCUCCGACGAUUUAUUGCUAAUUCAGCCGGGAAAAUGAAAGCCUUCUCCAUGCUUUUAAAACUUAAGGACUCCGACACCUUCGAAUGGCGUGUUGAGCACCAAUAGGCAUUUACGUAGAUCAAGGUCUUUUUAACGACUCCACCAGUCCUCGUCCCACCACGACGAGGCCAACCUCUUAAGCUAUAUAUCUCGGCGGUUGAAGAAUCCAUUGGAUUCCUUCUUGGACAAGACAAUGAUGCUGGGCGAUAACAGACCAUUUUUUACCUUAGCCGAAGCCUCAACCCAUCAGAGAUUAAUUACUUCGCUGUCGAAAAGCUUUGUCUCGCCUUAUUUUUCGCCGCGUCAAAACUCAGACAUUACAUGCUUCCGUCAAUCACUCAGGUCAUCGCCAGACCGAUGUCAUUCGUUACAUGCUCACUCGGUCGGAUCGGCAAGUGGACGAUGGCCCUUUCUUAGUUCAGCUUGCAAUAUGUGCCACAGAAAGCUGUCAAAGGUUAAGUUCUGGCCGAUUUUUUGGCCCAACACCCUUCCCCGUAUGAGUUCGGGGGUAAUGACAUUGACAUCGGCUUGGUACAAACACGUGAUAAUUACUGGACGAUGUACUUUGAUGGUUCCAAUACUUCAAUCUUGGCUGGCGUUGGGAUAGUUAUUUAAUCCCCCUCAUAAUCGUUGGUAUUUUUCUCUCAAGCUCGAUUUCGAUUGUACAAAUAAUGAGGUCGAAUACGAAGCCUUUGUUAUCGGCCUCGGUGUGCUACACGAUUUGCGGGCAACUCGUGUCCUUGAUCUUGGUGACUUUGAACUUGUCAUUAAUCAACUCAACGAGACUUUUCGUUGCAUGAGUUGUACUCUGGCGCUUUACCACAUGGUUGCUAACUAUUUGGCCGAACCUUUCGACGGUGCUACUUUCAAACACAUUUCACGAGUUCAUAACACUAACGCCGACGAAUUAGCUCAAAUAGCCUUCGGAGCACAACUCAUGUGGGGCAAAUUAGGCCGAGAAAUACCUGUGUCACGACAAGCACAUUCGGCUUUGAUUAAUCAGCAAGUUCUCCAACGUGAUUGCAUAAUCCGUACACGGGUCAUGUCUUUGCCUUCGUUGUUAGAACGGAGGGACAAUAUUGAGGUUUGUGCCGUCGAGGCAUUACCAGACGAUUGGAGAAGGACAAUUAUGCGAUAUUGAUAACCCUAACGAAAAACACGACUGACGGACAAGGGUUCAUGCCACAAACUACGUAUUAUACCAGAAUGAGUUGUGUCGAAAAGGUGAGGAUGGGUUAUUGUUGCUAUGCCGCGGCCCGUAGGAAGUUGCUCGAGCAAUGGUAGAAGUACACGAAGGAAUUUGCAGAGCCCACCAAUCUGGAUGAAAAAUGCGUUGGCUACUUUGGCGGCACGGUUAUUUCUGGCCGAGUAUUCUGAAAGAUUGUAUUGAAUAUGCAAAGGGUUGUGUACAAUGUCAAAUCCAUGGGCCUAUACAGAGAGUACCGACCGAAUCAUUACAUUCGGUCACCAAACCAUGGCCGUUCCAAGGAUGGGCCAUGGAUGUUAUCAGUAAAAUCACACCAUCAGCCAAACAUGCAUGGAUACUCGUUACAAUAGACUACUUCACCAAAUGGGUCGAAGCCAAGUCAUAUGCUGAGCUAACGUUUAAAGAAGUUUGUAAUUUCAUUAAAGAAAACAUUGUGACUAGAUUCGGCAUGUCAGAAACAAUCAUAACAGAUAAUGGUACGAUUUUUACAUUUGACAGAUUUAAGGAAUAUACGGCAAAUCUAAAGAUUCGACUUGAGCAAUCUAUGCCGUAUUAUCCACAGGCGAAUAGACAUGCCGAAGCGAGUAAUAAGGUUCUAAUUGGUAUUCUUGAAAAGAUGAUAAAAGAAAGGCCGGGUAUGUGGCAUUUAAAGAUAAAUGAAGCGUUGUGGGCUUAUCGAACUUCUCUACUUACAGCCACUGGAACGACUUCUUACGCGUUGACUUACGGACACGACACAAUGUUGCCAGUAGAGCUAAGUAUAAACUCGUUGCGAGUAAUUGAACAAAGUAGUUUGUUUAGCGCCGAGUACGAUUGGGCCAUGAGGCAAGAAUUAGAAGAGUUAGAAGAAGCUCAGCUCGAUGCUUAUAACUUAUUAGUGGCAAGAAGAAGCUUGGCAAACCGUACUACCCGUAGGAAUUAAAGACCCCAGGUUCGGCAAGUGGUUGCCGAAUUGGGAGGGGCCAUUCGUUAUUCAUAAAGUUCUCGGCAAGGGAACAUAUCGUCUUAGGGAUCGAACUGGUAUAGUUCAUAAGUUGCCAAUCAACGGGAGGUUUUUAAAGAACUAUUAUCCAGUCACAUGGGAAAUGCGGGAAUAAAAGUUCAUUUCAUUAAAUUUGCAAAAAGUGUACAAAUGGAAUGAGUCGAUCAAUUACAAUCAAAUAAUUCUAGGGUGAUGAAGGUAGGAGAGACUCAAGAACGACCUUCAACACUAGCCACCGCACCUCGCCCAUCGUGACCUCAGCUUGUCGAUUCCUCUUGUCCAUCUUUAGCUGCUCGACUAGCCUCACACUAGCCAUGUAUUCAGUUAAGUAAGAUUUACCGCUCGACUCAAAAUCCUUUGCAAGCUUGGAAGCAAUUGCCGACCUUUGAUUUUGGAGUUCGGCAAUUUGACGGUCGGUUAGGGCCUCAUUUUCGCAUUUAAAACUUCAACUUUUGGAUGAAGAGUAUCUUGAGCGAUUGUUGCAGCUUUCAAGUCGUCUUUAGCCCGAAGGAUUUUCUCGAAAAUACCGAAAUAUUCUCGGGUCCGUUCCAAGGAAGAAGACGCUUGAGUGAUAGCCUCGGUGUUCAAUUGACCAUCAGCUGCAAGAUUGUUCAGACAUGCACCAACUGAAUCAAGGCCUUGACAUUUAAGAACUUGUAAAGCUGAGAGAGACGAGCUCCUGCAACCUAACAAGAACAGUUGAUUUGGCCGGCCCGAUUGUAACUGUUGAAUGGCCAGUCGCUUCCGACGUACUCGAUAAGAGAGCAUCGAAUUCGACUUCCCAUGAAGGCUGCGCACAAAAAGGGUUUAGAUGCAAGGAAAAUCAUAGAAGAAUGUAGUAGAGAAUUUGUUUUAGACCUGCCAAGAAGAGACUUUGGCCAUGUCUCCGGGUUCAUUGCUCGAACCUAGAGAGCUUAAUGGCUGAGCCUAGUGUAUUAGAUUGCUUUUUAAUUCAAGCGACCGAUGAAGGUUAUGUUGUACUUUUAUGCACAAACGGAAGCGAAUUAUAACAAAGUACCAAAUAUCAACGUCGCAGGUGAAAGCUAAAACAAACAAUCUCAAACUGACACAAGAGAUUUAUGUGGUUCGGCGUAAAACCUACUCCACGAGCGAAGCACGGCAAAGAAUUUCACUACAGCAAAGAAUUUCACUAAACAAACGGAGAUUACAAAAGAGUUUAAACUCUCACAACCCAAAUCCCACAAAUUACAAACCCUAGACCAAACGAGUAGAGAACCCAAACCUAACGGAGAAGAUUCUCCCAAAUUGCUCUCUAACUCACAAAUUGACUCUUACCAAAUUGUCACAUGAAUGAGCCACACUAAAUACACUAACCCUAAGGUCCUAUUUAUAGUGCAUAGGACUUAGGUUAUAAUAGGAAUCCUAAUAGGAAAUAAAUCCAAAUCCUAAUCAAAUAAGUAAUUAACAAAAUCUCUCCACCAAAGAAACUAACUAAGAAGUCAAAACCAAACCCAAAUAGGACACUAAAACCAAAUAGGUAACAUAAACCUAAUUUAUUGCAUCAUCCUAAUUUUGAGCCAAAAACCCAACAAUAUCCACCUCGGCAAGAAAAUAGCAAACUUCCAAAUUUGGGAUACCAAAAUACAAAUGCAAACGUGCACCAAAUUGUUUCGAAACUGAUCUCCACCUAGACUCAAAAAAUCCAAAAGUCUUCAAACUUGAAAUUUCCUCCAACGCCUUCUCCAACAAAUUCCAUUACGGAAACUAAAAAAAAAUACGAAACAAAAUCCAAGCAAAAACUUGAACAUACGAAUAAAAAGUGCGAAUUGCACUCCACCCAAAGAGCUUGAGUACCAAGCUCCACCUCUUCACAUAACCUUUAGAGGAGUUCAGAACAACGAUCUUCUGCAAUGUUUGCAUCAACAAUAGCAAAAGACUUAUCAAACAACUUCUUUUUGCCCUUGAUUUAGGGCAAUCUACUUUCCAAUGACCUUCCUUAUAACAAUAGCUACAAGUGUUUUUUCCAAGUUUGCUCCUUUCCUUAUUCCUUCCUUGAACUACCAAAACUCCAUCUUGUGUGUCAGACACUUUAUUCUUCAACUCUUUAGAAUUCAAAAUGACUUUAAAAUCUUCCAAACUAAGACUUUCUCUACCAAAUAGCAUGGUAUCGACAAAGUGUUCAUACGAAGGAGAUAAAGAACACAACAAAGUGAUCGCAUAAUCCUCAUCACUAAUUUGGUUGUCCACACUUUUCAAAUCUAUCAUAAGUUUAUUGAAUUCAUCAACAUGCUUAUGAAUUGACGUACAUUCAUCCAUACGAAGAGUAUGCAAACUUUUCAUCAAAUACAAUCGUUUAGCAAGGGAUUUGGUCAUAUACAAGCUCUCCAAUUUUAUCCACAACUCUGGUGCAGAUUUGAUGCUACCAACUUCACGCAAGACUUCAUUCGAUAAAAUCAGCAGGAUUGCUCCAAGUGCCCGCUCCAUAACGUCUUCUUUUUCUUCAUCAGUCCACGAAUCCGGCAAAGCCUUCACACCCUUUAGCGUUUUCAAAAGCUCUUGUUGAACUAACAAAGCACGCAUAUUCAAUUGCCAAAUACCAAAGUCAUUGCCGUCGAACUUUUCAAUAUCAACUUUCACCGACGACACAGAAGGCUUCAUAAUGACUGCCAAACAAAGCCCAAGCCGAAACCUGGGCUCUGAUACCACUUGUCGUACUUUUAUGCGCAAACGGAAGCGAAUUAUAACAAAGUACCAAAUAUCAACGUCGUAGGUGAAAGCUAAAACAAACAAUCUCAAACUGACACAAGAGAUUUACGUGGUUCAAUGUAAAGCCUACUCCACGGGUGAAGCACGGCAAAGAAUUUCACUAAACAAACGGAGAUUACAAAAGAGUGUUUAAACUCUCACAACCAAAAUCCCACAAAUUACAAACCCUAAAAAUCACCAAAUUGUCACACGAAUGAGCCACACUAAAUACACUAACCCUAAGGUCCUAUUUAUAGUGCAUAGGACUUAGGUUACAAUAGGAAUCCUAAUAGGAAAUAAAUCCAAAUCCUAAUCAAAUAGGUAAUUAACAAAAUCUCUCCACCAAAGAAACUAACUAAGAAGUCAAAACCAAACCCAAAUAGGACACAAAAACCAAAUAGGUAACACAAACCUAAUUUAUUGCAUCAUCCUAAUUUUGAGCCAAAAACCCAACAAUCUCCACCUCGGCGAGAAAUUAGCAAACUUCCAAAUUUGGGAUACCAAAAUACAAAUGCAAACGUGCACCAAAUUGUUUCGAAACUGAUCUCCACCUAGACUCAAAAAAUCCAAAAGUCUUCAAACUUGAAAUUUCCUCCUGGCCUUCUCCAACAAAUUCUAUUACGGAAACUUAAAAAAAAUACGAAACAAAAUUCAAGCAAAAACUUGAACAUACGAACAAAAAGUGCGAAUUGAACUCCACCCAAAGAGCUUGAGUACCAAGCUCCAUCUCUUCACAUAACCUUUAGAGGAGUUCAGAACAACGAUCUUCUGCAAUGUUUGCAUCAACACUAGCAAAAGACUUAUCAAACAACUUCUUUUUGCCCUUGAGUUUAGGGUAAUCUACUUUCCAAUGACAUUUCUUAUAACAAUAGCUACAAGUGUUUUUUUCCAAGUUUGCUCCUUUCCUUAUUCCUUCCUUGAACUACCAAAGCUCCAUCUUGUGUGUCAGACCCUUUAUUCUUCAGCCCUUUAGAAUUCAAAGCGACUUUAAAAUCUUCCAAACUAAGACUUUCUCUACUAAAUAGCAUGGUAUCGACAAAGUGUUCAUACGAAGGAGAUAAAGAACAUAACAAAGUUAUCGCAUAAUCCUCAUCACUAAUUUGGUUGUCCACACUUUUCAAAUCUAUCAUAAGUUUAUUGAAUUCAUCAACAUGCUUAUGAAUUGACGUACCUUCAUCCAUACGAAGAGUAUGCAAACUUUUCUUCAAAUACAAUCGUUUAGCAAGGGAUUUGGUCAUAUACAAGCUCUCCAAUUUUAUCCACAACUCUGGUGCAGAUUUGAUGCUACCAACUUCACGCAAGACUUCAUUCGAUAAAGUCAGUAGGAUUGCUCCAAGUGCCUGUUCCAUAACGUCUUCUUUUUCUUCAUCAGUCCACGAAUCCGACAAAGCCUUCACACCCUUUAGCGUUUUCAAAAGCUCUUGUUGAAAUAACAAAGCAUGCAUCUUCAAUUGCCAAAUACCAAAGUCAUUACCGUCGAACUUUUCAAUAUCAACUUUCACCGACGACGCAGAAGGCUUCAUAGUGACUGCCAAACAAAGCCCAAGCCGAAACCUGGGCUCUGAUACCACUUGUUGUACUUUUAUGCGCAAACGGAAGCGAAUUAUAACAAAGUACCAAAUAUCAACGUCGUAGGUGAAAGCUAAAACAAACAAUCUCAAACUGACACAAGAGAUUUACGUGGUUCGGCGUAAAGCCUACUCCACGGGUGAAGCACGACAAGGAAUUUCACUAAACAAACGGAGAUUACAAAAGAGUUUUUAAACUCUCACAACCAAAAUCCCACAAAUUUCAAACCCUAAACCAAACAAGUAGAGAACCCAAACCUAACAGAGAAGAUUCUCCCAAAUUGCUCUCUAACUCACAAAUUGACUAUCACCAAAUUGUCACACGAAUGAGCCACACUAAAUACACUAACCCUAAGGUCCUAUUUAUAGUGCAUAUGACUUAGAUUACAAUAGGAAUCCUAAUAGGAAAUAAAUCCAAAUCCUAAUCAAAUAGGUAAUUAACAAAAUCUCUCCACCAAGGAAACUAACUAAGAAGUCAAAACCAAACCCAAAUAGGACACCAAAACCAAAUAGGUAACACAAACCUAAUUUAUUGCAUCAUCCUAAUUUUGAGCCAAAAACCCAACAGGUUAUCUACGUUCGAUGGCCACUGAGGUGGCCAAGAAAUAUAGAUAACACCCUUCGGCGCAUAGAAUUUUCGAUGAAAUGAAUAACUGGGCACUUGACAUUUAAUAUUUUUCUUGGUUCAGACUUGUUAUAACAAAAUUGACAAGAGAAAGUAAUCGAGCCUUACAAAAGCUGAUGUCGCUUCUUGAGAGGGGAUACUGAGGUCUUGGUCCUGUGGGUGAAUUGGAGUUUCUGACGUCGCUUCAGGUUCAAUGAUAGGCCUUUUUCCACGAUCGGCUACAAGAGGAUCAACCUGGUCGGUCACCUCAACCACAGGGGGAGGAUCAAUGGAAGGAGUUACGGUUGGUUGAGAGCAACUUACCGGCAGAAUCUCGUCACUCUCGUCAUCCUGAAACAAAAGAGUUGUUAAUACUUUUGAAUUUAAUGAGUGAAGAGAGUUGCCAGCAUAAUCAUACCUCUUCUAAGAUGAUCGCUGAUUGUUUUAGAUUCUUGGGGAGAUUCUUCCCGAUCAAAGGGGUUGCCUCCCCCAGAAUGGGUGCUAAAGUCGGCCUCAGAGCUGCAGACGUUUCGACCAGCAGUAUAAUAACUGGUUCGACUGCGACCUCGGGGACCUCAGGGGCCGGGUGAGCUUGGGUUGCUGGGUUGGUUGAAGAUGGUUGUUUCUUCGCUGAGGCCUGAACAACGGGAACAAGAGGAGAGGCACUUGGAGUGAUUGUUCCGGUGGUGUGGCUGGAGAUAACGUGAAUCUCUCGUGCUCCAUUAUUCGCCAAUUUCUUGACGCGUUUUGUGGGACGAGUGGCUUCACCUGCCGUCUCGGCAUCCGAGUGAGGCUGUUUGCUUAAUGUGUUUUGCGCGUCAGUUUUAGAUUUCUUGGAGGAAUGGGUCAAUUUUUUCUUGGCCAUAGCCGGGGCGACCACGUCUGCCUGUUUCAAUACCCGAUCGCCUGAGAAAGCGAAAUCUCAUUAGUAAAAUCGUUUAAGUGUUUGAAGAAUAAAGGUAGAGAUAGUCGUGUACCUUGGGGCGUCUCUUUAGAUUGAGGGGCAUAAGUUUUUUUGGGUCGAUCACAAAUUUUUUUGUUACUACGUCCUCGACCGAAGCGCCAAAAAAGUCGUGAGUAUUUUCUUCCCACCAGUCGUCGAAGAUGUUGGUGCCGAAAGAUUCAGGAACAGUUGGUCGAAGGUGAAAUUUCUUACACCGUUCCUGAAACUCCUCGGUGUCUUUGCACUCCCUUUUUGAGGAACCAAAGAGGUGUCCUCGGCUUAGAAGGGAGCGAGAAAAAGUAGGGGCACCGGGCAACCUUGGAGGUAGCCAAGCUGUCGGGCAGCAAAAUGGGGGUGGUAGAAUUCCUAACUUGCUCGGCGAGCAUCACAACCGAGGGGAAGGUCGCGAGUUAACACGAACGACCCCCAGUUUUGACGAAAACCAGCAUCUUCGCUUUCACUCCAGAUUGAUGUGGGAAGUUUACCGAAAUGGGGGUAUUCCUGACGACGACAUAUCAAAAAUUCGUUGUUGAAAAGGACGUCUAGGUCGAAGAAGUGUUUGAAGACCUCUUUAGCUAGGUGAGGAGGCACUGGGCGAGAGCUAACUGAAGGUCGAUUGCUACAGUGGAUUGGAGGUUGGAGAUUUCUGGCCGAAGUAUGGAGAAAUAAACCUGCAGCCAGAGUUAGAACACCCAGAGAGGUCCAUUCUGAUACGGGUCAAUCUUAUUGAUGGUCGUUUCUGCCAGGCAGCGCAAAAGGUUGACAAGGAUAGCGGGUCUGAGCGCCAGAGAAUGACCACUAGCCAGGGCUUCCGCCACCGGUGGCAUAUUUUAGACCAAGCACUUAUUCGACUUAGUACAACAGAAAAUAGGAAGGCCUCGUGUUCUCCCUUCCGUAGAAUCACCUCCCAUCGACCAGCAAAAUGGAGGAUAAGGGUGUUGUAGUUAAGGAAAUUCUUAUGCAACUUCUGAACUUCCUCUUUUGAAGGCUCUUGACCUUUUUGGCUCAACGUCUAGACGACUUGUUCGUCGAACAACACCUUGAGGUCGAGAUUUAAUGAGCAUCCAAUAAGGGUGUCGUCUAUUGGAAUGCCAGAAGGAGAAGUCCCGAGAAUAGCCGAGAUGUCGAUGAUGGUGGGGGUUAUAAGGCCGAACGGAAUGACCAUGGUGUUGGUAGCCAAGCACCAGAGGCUUAGAGUUGCCAUAAUGAGUUCUUUAUCCAUGGUAAUCUCCAUGGUCGAGAGUUUAAUGGCGUCGUGGAUGCCGAGAGCUUCCCACUCUUUACUAAAGAAUUUUUCCAUUCGUACGACCCAUGCCGCCCAGUUUGCAUUGGUCAAAGGCCAGGCUCCUUGAGGCUUUGUCAAACACCACUUUGACCAAUCAAAUCCUUGCAACAAAUGUGCCAAGCAGAUUGGUGAUGAACGAUGGCACUGUGUCCUUAAAGAGUGGGCAUAGGAUUUGGUGAGUGGUGUUUAGGUCACUCUCGAAACGCAGGGUCUUGAUGGCGUUCCGAUCGAUGAAGUCUUUGCACUUGUUGAACUCGUUGGAGAGUUGGGAAAUGAAGGGGGCCAUUGAUGAAGGCUUAAAGAUAUCUGAGAUGAAAGCUUGGGAUUUUCUGGUAUUGAAAGUUUUGAAAGCAAAGUGGUGAGAAAAUUUCAAGGGUUUUGGAAAGCAUAAGGUACGCGUGGAAGAGAUUCGAGUAUUUAUAGGCAUUUGGGAAGGAAGGCUAAACGUUUGAUUUUCAAAAUUAAGGAUAUAAUCGAGCGGGAAAGUUGCUAAUCAUUGUAGAUGUUCAGGAAAUCUAGGCAAAAAGGUUGAGGUUUUCACGGUUUAAGGAUGCACGAUUGCGUGUUGCGACAGGUUUAGUGCAAGAGAGACGUUUUUGCGAUCGUAUGUUUUCGAGGGUCAUGAUUGUGGAUUGCUAGGUUAACCAGGGGACUGACAUGUGGCAGGACGGUUGGGAAAUCAAGAUCGUGGGGUUAUGUCUCAUAAAUGUGCAUGGUAGUAUUUCUCAAGAGGAUUCAAUGAUUGUCUUUAGGUCGGUUUCACUUCUUCAAGGUCAAGGGUCGAACCAAGGAAUGUAGGUUGACGACCUCAGAAGCAAGGGGGUAAUGCUUGGUUUGGGCCAAGUUUAUAAUUGUUCUCGGCCCAAAGGCCAUGUUUAGGAGUCGUUGUGGGUCAUUCGGCUUAUGGGCCAUAUAGCCAAGGCCGGCCGUGCCCUAUUAGGAGUCCAUGGAUGGUUGAAUCUUGAUACGAGAAGGAGUUUUGACAGGAUAAGGAUGUAGAAGUUUAGGAUUGAAUGCGGCCUGAUAAGGGGGUUGAGUUCAAAGUCUUAGUAGGAGUAGGAGUGGCCGAGAUAAGGUUAGAUCGGGGGAAGGAGUUCUAAUCCGAGUAGGGUUGUGAUUCGAUUGGGAGCAGGUUGACUACUAUAAAUAGAGGGAUGAGUACAUCAUUAAAGUCUCUCCAAU